RNAcentral lists this transfer RNA (66 nucleotides) under Cipangopaludina lecythis ampullacea. RNAcentral's name for it is "tRNA-Trp". The record is from RNAcentral. Lineage: Eukaryota; Metazoa; Mollusca; Gastropoda; Architaenioglossa; Viviparidae.
AAGAUCUUAAGUUAUAAAAACUAGCAGCCUUCAAAGCUACCAAUAAGAAAUAAUUCUUAGAUCUUA